UAAUACGAGAGGCCCAAACGUUAUUCGGAAUUACUGGGCUUAAAGAGUUCGUAGGCGGCAUUGCAAGUAGGGUGUGAAAGCCCUCGGCUCAACCGAGGAAUUGCGCUCUAAACUGCAGUGCUCGAGGAAGCUAGAGGUGAGCAGAACAGAUGGUGGAGCGGUGAAAUGCGUUGAUAUCAUCUGGAAUACCGGAGGCGAAGGCGGCUCACUGGGGCUUUUCUGACGCUGAGGAACGAAAGCCAGGGUAGCGAACGGGAUUAGAUACCCCGGUAGUCCUGGCCGUAAACGAUGAGCACUAGGCCGGAGGGCUGCACAGCCUUUCGGCCGUAGCUAAAGUGUUAAGUGCUCCGCCUGGGGAGUAUGGUCGCAAGGCUG
Molecule: ribosomal RNA, 375 nt
Filed under: uncultured bacterium
Lineage: Bacteria
Description: bacterial SSU rRNA
Rfam family: Bacterial small subunit ribosomal RNA
Source: RNAcentral